AGUCUAAAUCGAGGAGGGGAGGGUGUGUGUGUGUGGUUAAAGUUUAGCAAGUAUGGUGAACUUGCACAUGGAUAGAGUUUGAAGUCUAGUCCAGACAUUGAUAGGUAUUUGUGAGUGUAGGUCACCUAACAAAUGUACCUACUGUGGCCAUUGUGAAAUUUAUAUAUGUGUGUGCGCUAUCCAUGUGAUGGGGGGAUCCAUUUCACCUCUUCUU
This 214-nucleotide long non-coding RNA is filed under the name Carica papaya (papaya). RNAcentral's name for it is "long non-coding RNA (CPAP_LNC004064)". Lineage: Eukaryota; Viridiplantae; Streptophyta; Magnoliopsida; Brassicales; Caricaceae. The record is from RNAcentral.